AGAUGUUCCUUCCAAAAGGCUGGGCUGGAGUUGGGGGUUCUCUCAUGGCUUCUCUUGGCUCCCAUCACAAGAACUAUUCUAGCUCAAGGGUAUAAAACAGGAUGUUUGUGGCCAGGCGCGGUGGCUCACGCCUGUAAUCCCAGCACUUUGGGAGGCCGAGGCGGGGGUAUCAUGCGGUCAGGAGAUUGAGACCAUCCUGGCUAACAUGGUGAAACCCCGUCUCUACUAAAAAUACAAAAAGAAAUUAGCUGGGCGUAGUGGUGGGCGCCUGUAGUCCCAGCUACUCGGGAGGCUGAGGCAGAAGAAUGGCGUGAACCCAGAAGGCAGAGCUUGCAGUGAGCGGAGAUUGCACCACUGCACUCCAGCCUGGGCCACAGAGCGAUACUCCGUCUCAAAAACCAAAAAAACAAAAACAAAAACAAAAAACAACGGGAUGUUUGUCAAAAGCUGCCUUUUCUAAGAACAGAGAGCGUGUGACUCUUCUCUCACCCCACCAUGGCUACUUGUUACUGUGAUCUAAAUUUAAUUGUCUCCAUUAGCCACAGGGAGCUCUUGUCUCAAGAGCUGAGGGAGCUUAUUUACAGUUUUAUUUCACAGCAAGAUAAAUGGUGUCCCCUAAAUAAUAAUGUGACUUAAUGGUAGAGGCAGGACUAAAUCCCAGUUUCUUUCCAGUUUAUGUUUUACUACUAAAGUUGAAAACAAGAUUCUCUUUUUAGAGUGUAACUCUGCUGUUAUGAAAUUAUGAAUACUCAAGAAUUAGCUCAUAAUGUUGUCUUUUUUUACUUUUAUUUUAUAUUUUGAUUAAUGCCUUUCUCUUGUUAGAAGAAGGAACGAAUUAAAACAUCACUUGUGGAUAGGUCUAAUUGUCCUCAUUAUAUGGAAGAAGAAACUGAUAUUCUAGGAAGUUUAGUAACGAUAUAGAUUUAAUGCAGCUGGGAAGGGUGUGGACUUAUGAAGUCAAAACUAGGUCUGUUAGACUGUAAAAUCUGUGCUUUGAAGAUUGUGCAUCUGGGAAAGAAAAUGAAAAACUCUAGGAAAUUCUUAGAUCCAAUUAGUAAUUGUGGUCACAACACUUAAGAAUGAAUUCAGAAUAUGCAAUUAUACCCAAAACACUUGCAAUGCCUUUUUUUUCAUGUUAUAGAGAAUUAGAGAGACUCUAGAAUUCUUUAUGUCUGUAUUCAAGAAGAAGGAAGAUAAAAUAAUGAAGAAACCAAGUGCAAUUCUAAGACAUAUGUGCCCUGAACCAUUCUUUAUUUGAAUAAAACAUAGAUCCAGACCAUCAUUAGCCCCCUGCAAAAGUUGAGAUAGAUGCUUUGAAGUAACACCUUCUCCCUAUUUGUUUUCAUUAUUUUAACCUAGACUUCGGGAUAGCCUUGUAGCGUUGGUAACAAGUAAACUGUUUCACUACAGGCAGACGGAUUUCUAAGAUAUUUUGGUAGUUUUUAUUAAGUUAGAAAAGCUCAUGAAAUCUUUGCUGGGGCUGAGAGAAUGGAAUUAUCUGAUUAUUAGUAUUAGGUCAACCCUGACUUAAAGUCCCUACUGAUGUCUUUGCAAAAAACUUGGAAAAAGCAGUUUUCUCUCCAGGCCUCAAUAUCUCUUGGGAGCUGUUAUAAAAUGGCAUAACUCAUCUGAAAAAGAAAAAAAGAAACGGAAGGAAACACCUUUCCAUUGAAAAUAUGGUGUGUACGUUUGUAAGUAAAGAUGGUCUAGGAACAGAAUUUGUAAUUAUGCUUCCACAGGAAGUUUGACAGCAACGUUUCUUUCUUUCUUUGUUUUUUUUUUUUUUUUUUUUUUUUUUUCUGGGAAGUUUAGGGCAAGGAGGACAUGAAAUUGAUAAUGCCUUGAGCCCGGCAAUGGGUUUUCCCAGAAGAAAUAAUGCAAAGCCGUUAGAUGAAUGACAGUUUCUAAAGUCUGCACAACCAACUCUUGACAGAUGGAGCACUGCAGAGGCCAUGUGGCACGGGAAUUUCCAAAUUUCCACUCUAAUUUCAUUUGCUUUUUAAAAAACUUUGGCAGCUGAAGUUGCAGCAGCUGACCUCUAACUGCUACCCCGGGGAAACAGGAGGCCGUGUAACGGGCUCUUUAUGAACAAGGGCUGUAGACGGCGCUGGAGAACACAGGCUCCACUAGGGGCCGUGGAGAAGGCCCUGUCCGGAUGUCUACCCGCCAGCACAGAGGGGCUGCCGGCCCUUGCUUUGCAUCUUUAAGGAGGCAGCCUGGUGUAGUCAGAUAUCCCCGCAUCCGAGUCUUAGUUUUACCACUGACAGCUGUGUGACUUUGGUCAGCUUUUCAACUUCAAGCUUUUUUCCUUAUCUGUAAAAAUCCUAAUUUGUGGCGUUGUCAUGAAAAUUAAGGCUAAUAUAUAUUAAAAUAUUUAGUACAGUACUCAGCACAGAUUAGAACCCAAUAAAGUCCCUAAUUACGUAACCAAA
Long non-coding RNA from Gorilla gorilla gorilla (western lowland gorilla), 2432 nucleotides. RefSeq lists it as uncharacterized. NCBI's taxonomy places the organism in Eukaryota, Metazoa, Chordata, Mammalia, Primates, Hominidae. The record is from RefSeq and is a predicted model, not a curated record. The transcript is spliced from 2 exons.